Octopus bimaculoides (California two-spot octopus) is the source of this 2002-nucleotide long non-coding RNA. The record is from RefSeq and is a predicted model, not a curated record. Lineage: Eukaryota; Metazoa; Mollusca; Cephalopoda; Octopoda; Octopodidae.
UCCAACUCACCGACAAACAAAGAAACAGGUAAGCAAGCUACUUUAUUUCUUUUAAAUUGCCAUAAAGGCAUUACAUAAAGGGGGACACUACAACACAUGUGGAGACAUAUAACAAUUAAAAUAAAAAUAUGAUGCUAUGAAUGACACAUGAAAAUGAACAUGAAAAACAUUAAAAUCAAAAUAUUAAAAUGAUACGUGAAUGAUAACUGAGAAAUGAGAAUAUGAAAAGUGUGUUACUCAUCCCACACUGAGUAACACCACUCGCCACCUCUGAGUCCUGAGUCAUCUUUAGUCUUUAAUCUAAUCUUUCCUUUACCGUUUUCCCCAUCGCUGAGUGACAACACUCUCUCCUCCAUAUACAUGUAACAUUUUUCACCGGGUGAGGGGUUCUUGUAAAUUUUGUGGUGUCUGUUCUUUCUUCUUUUUUUCCUGUGGGGAGAGGGGGUGGGUGGAUUUGGUGUAUGUAUGGGGAUGAUGGGUCUGAGUGGUCUUGUGUGGGAUGGAGUUGGUCUGGGUCCCACAUCGCAUUGACUGUUCUUCCUCUUCUUUCUCUUUUUCCUUUUAUUCUCUGUCACUGUCUAUUCAUCCUCCUUGUUCCUUCCAUCUAUCUGUACUACUUCCUUUUACUCCUCCGUCUCCAACACCGUUUCUUCUGUCGUUUUCCGCUGUAGAGAGCAGUGCGCCCUAAUGUGGCCCUUUCGGCCACAUUUAAAGCAGCGCGGGAUUCUGCCCUCCACCCACACUCUUAGAACUAUCUCGCCCAACGAUAAUGUCUUUGCCAAAUUUUCCAAUUGUUUUUCCUCAGUCUGAAUGAUAACUUCAAGCGACUUUUAAAUCUUCCUUCUUCCGUUUCUGUGGCCUGGAGGACAGCCACUUCUUCCUCACUUCCAAUGAAGACGGCUGCCGCAACCCAAGCCACAUUUAUAUCAGGCGGGAUUCCUUCUACUUUUAUCUUGGAAGUUCUUCUUCCAAGAUACGUGGGUAGAAGGACCACUUCCUCCGUCUUUACUGUUUUACCUGCCAGCCUCCUUGCCUCUUCCUCUGUUCUAAACUGGACUACCAUUAUCCCAUGUUGGCAUCAUCUUGUCAUGUAUAUUACUCCGUUGGAUUCCUCCUUUACUGCCUUUUCUAUUUUCUCUAUUUCUAUUUGGUCGACCUUGUUACAUUUUAUCGAGUAAACUUUGUAUAUGACCGUUCUUCUCUUUAUACCAUCCAUGAUUCUUUGUGGGACGACAACAUCACGUUGCCGCCUACUUUCUGCACCAUUUUCCCGUGCUCCUUCAUUCUUGAUAGGUCCACUUCUCUUCUCUUCACCUCCGCGGCCUCGGCGAAACUCUUCAUUUUCUUCAAACAUUCAUCCAUGCCUUCUACUGCUCUCACCAGUUCCUCCUCUGAAGAAGACAGCUCAGACCCGCUAAGGUCUGAGUACAUCAAUUCUACCCUCAAAGCAGCAAAAAAAUAACGUCCGACUCGCACGCAAACGACAAAUCAAAUGCACUCUGGGUAACCGGAAGCCAGAUGGCAAUGAGCAGGAGAAACAGAAAUAUUAGAUGAGUUUAUGUUUUGUAUUUGUAAGUGCAAAACGUAAAGCGAAGAGAAAGAAAGAAUGUGGAGGACCAACUUUUGAUAUCAAAAUACGUCCGUUGGCUAAAUAUUGUGGCGUUAAUGGAAACACAAAGCAUACAUUGAAUGCGAUUGGUGAAUAGCUAAUGUAGACGAUUGUGAUGGUAAAUAUUGGACAACCUAUUGGUUGUCAAUCUAGGCUACUGAAUGACAAUGAAAAGAAACUGUGGUUAAUGGUUGUCCAACCGUAGCUAAGCCAAGACAGUUUAAAACAAUAGAUGACCAAUUAGAUGAGGGGACUGAACAGCAAAAAUUACCCCUCCCCACUACCAGCAGGAUUCUAACUUCUCCAUAAGCAGAAAAAUAACCGAGUAACUCAUCGCAGGUUUACGGAAGUCUGGACAUUAUUGUAACGAUCCUCACGAAAUAUUUUUUUAUA